UCAAACAGCUAGGGGAGCCUUCGGGCUGAGAGUGAGCGUAGGAGUUCUGACCCUUGAACCUGAUGUGGUUUGUACCGCCGGAGGAAAGCUAGCACUCAAGUGC
RNAcentral lists this non-coding RNA (103 nucleotides) under Desulfovibrio sp. RNAcentral's name for it is "TPP sequence". It matches the Rfam family "TPP riboswitch aptamer (THI element)". Rfam says of the family: Vitamin B(1) in its active form thiamin pyrophosphate (TPP) is an essential coenzyme that is synthesised by coupling of pyrimidine and thiazole moieties in bacteria. RNAcentral also lists the same sequence under 1 other name. Lineage: Bacteria; Pseudomonadati; Thermodesulfobacteriota; Desulfovibrionia; Desulfovibrionales; Desulfovibrionaceae. The record is from RNAcentral.